This is a long non-coding RNA of Juglans microcarpa x Juglans regia, 380 nucleotides long. RefSeq lists it as uncharacterized. The transcript has 3 exons. The record is from RefSeq and is a predicted model, not a curated record. Lineage: Eukaryota; Viridiplantae; Streptophyta; Magnoliopsida; Fagales; Juglandaceae.
UAUCCAAUCAAAAUAAGGUCAAUAGGAAAAAGCAGCGUGUGAACCAAACAGCAGGCAGAAAGUCAUUUGUGAGGUUAAUACAAGAGAUAGGUUCAAGCUCAAAAAACUUGGUAAACUUCUAUAAAGAAACUAGAUGGUAAAAGAAGAAAGGAGCAUUUGUCACUCCCAUGACAUAAACACUCUAUAAUACGAUGAUUGAGAAGUUAGAUGAGAUCGAGCCUGAGGAGCGCACAAAUGAGGCUGCUAAUAAAAUAUUUAGAGAUGUGCUAGGGCAUAGGUCUGGUUAUGCAAGAGGACUUGGUGGUUUAGUUAUACCCGAGCCUAGACCAUCAUAUAUGUCGGCACAACUUGAGCACCUAGCCCAAGAAAAUGAGAAACAU